UACGUAGGGUGCGAGCGUUAAUCGGAAUUACUGGGCGUAAAGCGUGCGCAGGCGGUGAUGUAAGUCAGAUGUGAAAUCCCCGGGCUCAACCUGGGAAUUGCAUUUGUGACUGCACGGCUAGAGUGUGUCAGAGGGGGGUAGAAUUCCACGUGUAGCAGUGAAAUGCGUAGAGAUGUGGAGGAAUACCGAUGGCGAAGGCAGCCCCCUGGGAUAACACUGACGCUCAUGCACGAAAGCGUGGGGAGCAAACAGG
Molecule: ribosomal RNA, 253 nt
Filed under: uncultured bacterium
Lineage: Bacteria
Description: partial 16S ribosomal RNA
Rfam family: Bacterial small subunit ribosomal RNA
Source: RNAcentral